UUACAAUUUGGGAGCGUGGUUUGCGCCAUUGUCGUAACCGCAGCCCUUGUCAUCGUUGCUUCUAAAUAUUUUUAAUACUUUAUUUGCAAUUUGCUGGAAUAUUAUUUAUUGUGACUUUCCAUCACUACGUCUGUCCAAAAACGGAUCGCCUUUUCGCGUUUCGUUUCCAUCCUGACGCUCUCACAUGCGAUCUCACUGAGUCGCUUCUCUCUUGAAAUCGCGCUUCUCUGUUGAUCUCUUCUCACCGUUUGGUAUCUCACCGUGCAAUCUCUCACGUUCGCUUUUCGGCAAACUGCGAGUCUCUCAACUGUCGAUAGGUGUUGCCCGCUUGGCAAAGAGUAACUCAUUUUGAUGCCUCUCGCUACCCCUGGCCCUAGUUUUGAAGGAAUCAUGCGACACACUCGCACUCCACUACCCCAUCCCAUGGAAAAACGCUCCCACCAUCGAGGUGUUGACCAAAAUUUCGCUGUGUGCAUGAGACACACACUCGCACUCCUCCAGCCCUCCACAGCUGAACGCUCCCACCGUUGCGAAUUUGCGAGAAUUUUUGCUCUGAGCGUGAGACCCUGAAGCGCCAGAGAUGACACUAUGUGUAAAGACGAUCAUAAUUCGAUAUGGUCAAAAUGCGUCGUUUGUCGUUUCAUUUAUCUGGUAAUGAUGUUUUCACUUCAUCAAAAUUUUAAACAUUAACAACUAGGCUGAUAACAAUAAUUGAAAUAUAAAUCAGAAUAAAUUAAAUUCAUUUGAAGUAAAAUGACUUCCAUUAUACUCUAUUUUGACCAAAUGAUCAACACUUGUACAUAGUGCCAUUUACUUUGUGUUCUUCACUCUCGCGCUGUGUUGUGAUCGUUCGAAACUCAUUGCCAGAACGAAUGCAAAUUUCAUUUGGGAAGGAUUGGUGCUGGAAGAUGCAACGAAAAUAAUUAAAUGUUAAUAGAAAAGUGGUUAAGUAAAUCGUGAAAGAUGUCAACGCAGGCGUAACUGCAGUUUGUUUUGUUACAUGAUCUACGGGUAAGUGCAUGCAUAAGAAGAAGAAUCUUGCAAAUGAUGUUUGUGUUCUAACAAUCGUACUGCUUUUAAUGUUUGUUUAUUCUUCUAUUAUUUUCCAUCACACCUAGCUAUUUCAUUGCCAAAGCUCCUGAUAACAGAUCAAAGCAGAUGGAUCAUGCAUACAGAGUCGCCAUUUAACAUUAAAUAUCUUCUUGAUCGGCAAACGCAUCAAACAGCAAGUGUUUCUCUUCCAACAGCACGCGCCAUCGGUGGAGCAAGCAGCCAACGAUUUGAUCGCCAGUACGCGCCAUCAAGAAUUGAAAUAUUCCCGAAUAGCUCCGUGAAUAAAAAACUGCACACUUACUGUCCGAA
This is a long non-coding RNA of Anopheles gambiae (African malaria mosquito), 1362 nucleotides long. RefSeq lists it as uncharacterized. The record is from RefSeq and is a predicted model, not a curated record. The transcript is spliced from 2 exons. NCBI's taxonomy places the organism in Eukaryota, Metazoa, Arthropoda, Insecta, Diptera, Culicidae.